UCCGCUUUAUCUGCGGCAGUCUCUUUAGAAAUGCAACUAAAGACGAGGGUUGCGCUCGUUGCGGGACUUAACCCAACAUCUCACGACACGAGCUGACGACAGCCAUGCAACAUCUGUGACACCGUCCCUUGCGGGAGGCCCUGCUUUCACAGGGUUGCGAUGCCAUGUCAAGCCCAGGUAAGGUUCUUCGCGUCGCAUCGAAUUAAACCACACGCUCCGCUGCUUGUGCGGGGCCCCGUCAAUUCCUUUGAGUUUUAGUCUUGCGACCGUACUCCCCAGGCGGACCACUUAAUGCGUUAGCUACGGCACGGAAGGGGUCAACACCCCCCACACCUAGUGGUCAUCGUUUACUGCUAGGACUAC
Molecule: unclassified non-coding RNA, 363 nt
Filed under: uncultured Ktedonobacteria bacterium
Lineage: Bacteria; Bacillati; Chloroflexota; Ktedonobacteria
Description: contains 16S-23S intergenic spacer region
Source: RNAcentral